RNAcentral lists this ribosomal RNA (440 nucleotides) under uncultured bacterium. RNAcentral's name for it is "partial 16S ribosomal RNA". It matches the Rfam family "Bacterial small subunit ribosomal RNA", at positions 338 to 795 of the family's 1533-position model. The record is from RNAcentral.
CCUACGGGUGGCAGCAGUAGGGAAUAUUGCUCAAUGGGGGAAACCCUGAUGCAGCAACGCCGCGUGGGGGAUGAAGGUUUUAGGAUUGUAAACUCCUUUUAUUAGAGAAGAUUAUGACGGUAUCUAACGAAUAAGCACCGGCUAACUACGUGCCAGCAGCCGCGGUAAUACGGAGGGUGCAAGCGUUACUCGGAUUCACUGGGCGUAAAGAGAGCGUAGGCGGGGUAGUAAGUCAGAUGUGAAAUCCUGUGGCUUAACUACAGAACUGCAUUUGAAACUGUUACUCUGGAGUGUGGGAGAGGUAGGUGGAAUUCUUGGUGUAGGGGUAAAAUGCGUAGAGAUCAAGAGGAAUACUCAGUGCGAAGGCGACCUGCUGGAACAUUACUGACGCUGAUGCACGAAAGCGUGGGGAGCAAACAGGAUUAGAUACCCGGGUAGUC